GUGUACCUGUGUGAUGUAGGUGUAGUGUAGUGUAGUGUACCUGUGUGAUGUAGGUGUAGUGUAGUGUAGUGUACCUGUGUGAUGUAGGUGUAGUGUAGUGUAGUGUACCUGUGUGAUGUAGGUGUAGUGUACCUGUGUGAUGUAGGUGUAGUGUAGUGUAGUGUACCUGUGUGAUGUAGGUGUAGUGUAGUGUAGUGUACCUGUGUGAUGUAGGUGUAGUGUAGUGUAGUGUACCUGUGUGAUGUAGGUGUAGUGUAGUGUAGUGUACCUGUGUGAUGUAGGUGUAGUGUAGUGUAGUGUACCUGUGUGAUGUAGGUGUAGUGUAGUGUACCUGUGUGAUGUAGGUGUAGUGUA
This is a long non-coding RNA of Tachysurus vachellii, 354 nucleotides long. RefSeq lists it as uncharacterized. Lineage: Eukaryota; Metazoa; Chordata; Actinopteri; Siluriformes; Bagridae. The transcript has 4 exons. The record is from RefSeq and is a predicted model, not a curated record.